CCAAUAGCGUAUAUUAAAGUUGUUGCAGUUAAAAAGCUCGUAGUUGAAUUUCGGGGUUAGUAAGUUGGUCGUGCCACUGGUAUGUACUGGCUUUACUGAUUCCUCCUUCUUGUAGAACCGUAAUGCCAUUAAGUUGGUGUUGCGGGGAAACAGGACUGUUACUUUGAAAAAAUUAGUGUUUAAAGCAAGCUAACGCUUGAAUACAUUAGCAUGGAAUAAUGAAAUAGGACGUUCGAUCCUAUUUUGUUGGUUUUUAGGAUUGACGUAAUGAUUAAUAGGGUUAGUUGGGGGCAUUAGUAUUCAAUUGUCAGAGGUGAAAUUCUUGGAUUUAUUGAAGACUAACUACUGCGAAAGCAUUUGCCAAGGAUGUUUUCAUUAAUCAAGAACGAAAGUUAGGGGAUCGAAGACGAUCAGAUACCGUCGUAGUCUUAACCAUAAACUAUGCCGACUAGGGAUCGGAUGAUGUUAAUUUUAUAAUGACUCAUUCGGCGCCUUACG
This 498-nucleotide unclassified non-coding RNA is filed under the name uncultured Glomus. RNAcentral describes it as "SSU rRNA". It matches the Rfam family "Eukaryotic small subunit ribosomal RNA", at positions 591 to 1092 of the family's 1831-position model. Lineage: Eukaryota; Fungi; Glomeromycota; Glomeromycetes; Glomerales; Glomeraceae. The record is from RNAcentral.